GGAGUUUCUGCAGAUACAGGGUUGUGAUGAUCAAACAUGAGCGCUGAGCGUCAGAAGCGCAGGGAGGAGAUCCAGACAGGACUGAGCUUCAUCAAGUGUUCUCUGCCUUAUCCGGACCCUGAAGGCUUCG
Molecule: long non-coding RNA, 130 nt
Organism: Puntigrus tetrazona (Sumatra barb)
Lineage: Eukaryota; Metazoa; Chordata; Actinopteri; Cypriniformes; Cyprinidae
Exons: 3
Source: RefSeq, a predicted model, not a curated record